UGGGGAAUAUUGGACAAUGGGCGCAAGCCUGAUCCAGCCAUGCCGCGUGAGUGAUGAAGGCCCUAGGGUUGUAAAGCUCUUUCACCGGUGAAGAUAAUGACGGUAACCGGAGAAGAAGCCCCGGCUAACUUCGUGCCAGCAGCCGCGGUAAUACGAAGGGGGCUAGCGUUGUUCGGAUUUACUGGGCGUAAAGCGCACGUAGGCGGACUUUUAAGUCAGGGGUGAAAUCCCGGGGCUCAACCCCGGAACUGCCUUUGAUACUGGAAGUCUUGAGUAUGGUAGAGGUGAGUGGAAUUCCGAGUGUAGAGGUGAAAUUCGUAGAUAUUCGGAGAAACACCAGUGGCGAUGGCGGCUCACUGGACCAUUACUGACGCUGAGGUGCGAAAGCGUGGGGAGCAAACAGG
RNAcentral lists this ribosomal RNA (404 nucleotides) under Actinomycetes bacterium. RNAcentral describes it as "Actinobacteria bacterium partial 16S ribosomal RNA". It matches the Rfam family "Bacterial small subunit ribosomal RNA", at positions 355 to 776 of the family's 1533-position model. The record is from RNAcentral. Lineage: Bacteria; Bacillati; Actinomycetota; Actinomycetes.